UCUCUAACUCGCUUGGAUUAGUAAGUUGCAAUACACUGAGUAUCAAUCAGUACGUUGCUUUUCGUUUCUUGUAUCUUAGCUUUGUAUUCUAAUUUAACACCACUAAAUGAUGUUGCGUCUGGCUUGUCUAGCUUUUUUUGUCCUUUUUCUAGCUAUUGUGACAGCAGAAGUUGAAGAAGUUGAGGAUACAUAUAGCCAAGAAUUAAAUGAACUUGCCGAAAGGGAGUUAGCUGAAAUUGUAAAACGACAAGGAUGGAAUAGAAAGCAUAGAAAAAGUAAGAAAGACAAAGGCAGCAAGGUAAUCGUGGAGUUAAAAGAUCGUCAAUGAAUUGAAGACAGCAGAUUCGAGCAGCUCAUGUUAUGCUGCAUGGAAUGUUAUAACAUUUAAAUAAAACGAAUAAAAUUCUCAAAUUAAUUUUUGUCACAUAAUUGCAUUAUAGCAUUAUACAUUAACGUGUAAUCCCUUUGGUUGCAUAAGAAAAUCAGGUAAAACUAUCGUUCAGAUCAUUUUUAUUCUUCAAAUCAGUAUAUGGAUAAUAUUUUAGAUUAUUUCGUGGACCAACAUUUAUUUAUAUUUAUAA
This is a long non-coding RNA of Bolinopsis microptera, 581 nucleotides long. RefSeq lists it as uncharacterized. Lineage: Eukaryota; Metazoa; Ctenophora; Tentaculata; Lobata; Bolinopsidae. The record is from RefSeq and is a predicted model, not a curated record. The transcript has 4 exons.